UGGAAAUAUUUGAUUUCAGCAUCAUCAGUAAUUAAGAAUGACAUUUGAUUUUUCAUUUUUGUUGCCUUUUGUAACAGCCAUGACCCGGUGCGUUCACGUGCAUUUAUUUUCUUGCUUUUUUCGCUUUCAGUGACUCACUUCAUCACUUGUCAAAUUUCCAAUAGACUGAGACUUUGAAAGAGAGAAAGUGAAGGAAAGGAAGAGCCAUGGAGCCCCCUCAAGCACAAUCCAUUGAAAUCUCAAGCACGAAUGAUCCACAAGACGUGGUCAUCAAUGAAUGUUGUUCUUGCUGUUAUGACUGUACACAGGGUAUCUUUGAUUUCUUGUGCUGUAACUUCUGUUGAAGUCAUGGGGACAUGUUUGUAGAUCCUUAUUUAUCAGAGAAUUGAUGUAUGAUCAUAAAUUAGUUAAGGAAAAAGUUGCGCUUUUUAAUUAGUUAUUGAGAUAUGUAGAACAUUCUUCCUUUGAUUUCCUUGUCUUGUGUUCUGGGGUGCCUUUUCACAAGCAGUGUUUGAUUUUAUUCCA
Molecule: long non-coding RNA, 525 nt
Organism: Lotus japonicus
Lineage: Eukaryota; Viridiplantae; Streptophyta; Magnoliopsida; Fabales; Fabaceae
Exons: 2
Source: RefSeq, a predicted model, not a curated record